This 331-nucleotide ribosomal RNA is filed under the name Bacillus subtilis. RNAcentral's name for it is "bacterial SSU rRNA". It matches the Rfam family "Bacterial small subunit ribosomal RNA", at positions 1 to 321 of the family's 1533-position model. Lineage: Bacteria; Bacillati; Bacillota; Bacilli; Caryophanales; Bacillaceae. The record is from RNAcentral.
UUUAUCGGAGAGUUUGAUCCUGGCUCAGGACGAACGCUGGCGGCGUGCCUAAUACAUGCAAGUCGAGCGGACAGAUGGGAGCUUGCUCCCUGAUGUUAGCGGCGGACGGGUGAGUAACACGUGGGUAACCUGCCUGUAAGACUGGGAUAACUCCGGGAAACCGGGGCUAAUACCGGAUGCUUGUUUGAACCGCAUGGUUCAAACAUAAAAGGUGGCUUCGGCUACCACUUACAGAUGGACCCGCGGCGCAUUAGCUAGUUGGUGAGGUAACGGCUCACCAAGGCAACGAUGCGUAGCCGACCUGAGAGGGUGAUCGGCCACACUGGGACUG